UACUGUAACAUACCUCCUUGUGAAGGCCUCAUCUCUGAAGCUAAGCAGAGCUCUGGUUAGUACUUGGAUGGGAGACCGUUGGGAAUAUCAGGUGCCACAGUGG
This 103-nucleotide ribosomal RNA is filed under the name Periophthalmus magnuspinnatus. The record is from RNAcentral. Lineage: Eukaryota; Metazoa; Chordata; Actinopteri; Gobiiformes; Gobiidae.